CCUACGGGAGGCAGCAGUGGGGAAUAUUGGGCAAUGGGCGCAAGCCUGACCCAGCAACGCCGCGUGAAGGAAGAAGGCUUUCGGGUUGUAAACUUCUUUUAAGAGGGAAGAGCAGAAGACGGUACCUCUUGAAUAAGCCACGGCUAACUACGUGCCAGCAGCCGCGGUAAUACGUAGGUGGCAAGCGUUGUCCGGAUUUACUGGGUGUAAAGGGCGUGCAGCCGGGAAGACAAGGCAGAUGUGAAAUCCCGGGGCUCAACCGCGGAACUGCAUUUGAAACUGUUUUUCUUGAGUACCGGAGAGGUCAUCGGAAUUCCUUGUGUAGCGGUGAAAUGCGUAGAUAUAAGGAAGAACACCAGUGGCGAAGGCGGAUGACUGGACGGCAACUGACGGUGAGGCGCGAAAGCGUGGGGAGCAAACAGGAUUAGAUACCCGAGUAGUC
RNAcentral lists this ribosomal RNA (442 nucleotides) under uncultured bacterium. RNAcentral's name for it is "partial 16S ribosomal RNA". It matches the Rfam family "Bacterial small subunit ribosomal RNA", at positions 338 to 795 of the family's 1533-position model. The record is from RNAcentral.